AGUGGCAGACGGGUGAGUAACGCGUGGGAACAUACCCCUCGGUUCGGAAUAACUCAGGGAAACUUGAGCUAAUACCGGAUACGUCCGAGGUCUUAAUCGGCCUUGGAGAAAGAUUUAUCGCCGGAGGAUUGGCCCGCGUCUGAUUAGCUUGUUGGUGAGGUAAUGGCUCACCAAGGCGACGAUCAGUAGCUGGUCUGAGAGGAUGAUCAGCCACAUUGGGACUGAGACACGGCCCAAACUCCUACGGGAGGCAGCAGUGGGGAAUAUUGGACAAUGGGCGAAAGCCUGAUCCAGCCAUGCCGCGUGAGUGAUGAAGGCCUUAGGGUUGUAAAGCUCUUUUACCCGGGAAGAUAAUGACGGUACCGGGAGAAUGAGCCCCGGCUAACUUCGUGCCAGCAGCCGCGGUAAUACGAAGGGGGCUAGCGUUGUUCGGAAUUACUGGGCGUAAAGCGCACGUAGGCGGAUCCUUAAGUCAGGGGUGAAAUCCCGAGGCUCAACCUCGGAACUGCCUUUGAUACUGGGGAUAUCGAGUCCGGGAGAGGUGAGUGGAACUGCGAGUGUAGAGGUGAAAUUCGUAGAUAUUCGCAAGAACACCAGUGGCGAAGGCGGCUCACUGGCCCGGUACUGACGCUGAGGUGCGAAAGCGUGGGGAACAAACAGGAUUAGAUACCCUGGUAGUCCACGCCGUAAACGAUGGAUGCUAGCCGUUAGACAGCUUGCUGUUUAGUGGCGCAGUUAACGCGUUAAGCAUCCCGCCUGGGGAGUACGGUCGCAAGAUUAAAACUCAAAGGAAUUGACGGGGGCCCGCACAAGCGGUGGAGCAUGUGGUUUAAUUCGAAGCAACGCGAAGAACCUUACCAGCUCUUGACAUGUCUCGUAUGGGGACCGGAGACGGUUUCCUUCAGUUCGGCUGGCGAGAACACAGGUGCUGCAUGGCUGUCGUCAGCUCGUGUCGCGAGAUGUUGGGUUAAGUCCCGCAACGAGCGCAACCCUCGCCCUUAGUUGCCAUCAUUCAGUUGGGCCCU
RNAcentral lists this ribosomal RNA (1025 nucleotides) under uncultured bacterium. RNAcentral's name for it is "bacterial SSU rRNA". It matches the Rfam family "Bacterial small subunit ribosomal RNA", at positions 94 to 1139 of the family's 1533-position model. The record is from RNAcentral.